This 185-nucleotide unclassified non-coding RNA is filed under the name Glomus sp. RNAcentral's name for it is "partial contains 5.8S ribosomal RNA and internal transcribed spacer 2". The stretch from base 1 to 65 matches the Rfam family "5.8S ribosomal RNA", at positions 84 to 154 of the family's 154-position model. Lineage: Eukaryota; Fungi; Glomeromycota; Glomeromycetes; Glomerales; Glomeraceae. The record is from RNAcentral.
GUGAAUCAUCGAAUUUUUGAACGCAAAUUGCACUCUCUUCGGAGAGUAUGACUGUUUGAGGGUCAGCCUAAAAAAAAACGACGUAGUCGCUGUUUUGCGGUGACAUUGGUCGGGAAUUGGGUCAGCUUAUACCUUUAGGUUGUUUAAAAGGCUUAAAUUUCUUUUUACGCGUGCACCAUCGUUUC